UGGGGAAUCUUCCGCAAUGGACGAAAGUCUGACGGAGCAACGCCGCGUGAGUGAAGAAGGUUUUCGGAUCGUAAAACUCUGUCUUUUGGGGCGAACGUGAGUAUGGUGAACAAUCAUAGUCAGUGACGGUACCAAAGGAGGAAGCCACGGCUAACUACGUGCCAGCAGCCGCGGUAAUACGUAGGUGGCAAGCGUUGUCCGGAAUUAUUGGGCGUAAAGAGCGCGUAGGCGGGAUAGUCAGUCUGUUGUAAAGUGCGGGCUCAACCCCGUGAUGGCAAUGGAACACUAUUCUUGAGUGCAGGAGAGGAAAGGUGGAAUUCCCAGUGUAGCGGUGAAAUGCGUAGAUAUUGGGAGGAACACCAGUGGCGAAGGCGACUUUCUGGACUGUGUCUGACGCUGAGGCGCGAAAGCCAGGGGAGCGAACGGGAUUAGAUACCCCCGGUAGUCCUGGGCCGUAAACGAUGGGUACUAGGUGUGGGGAGGUAUCGACCCCCCUUU
Molecule: ribosomal RNA, 498 nt
Filed under: uncultured bacterium
Lineage: Bacteria
Description: partial 16S ribosomal RNA
Rfam family: Bacterial small subunit ribosomal RNA
Source: RNAcentral